This 358-nucleotide ribosomal RNA is filed under the name uncultured bacterium. RNAcentral describes it as "bacterial SSU rRNA". It matches the Rfam family "Bacterial small subunit ribosomal RNA", at positions 917 to 1289 of the family's 1533-position model. The record is from RNAcentral.
GGGCCCGCACAAGCGGUGGAGCAUGUGGUUUAAUUCGAUGCAACGCGAAGAACCUUAUCCUGGGUUUGACAUGCAUGGAUUAGCUUCCUGAAAGGGAAGUGACGCGGCUUGCCGUGGAACAUGCACAGGUGCUGCAUGGCUGUCGUCAGCUCGUGCUGUGAAGUGUCGGGUUAAGUCCCUUAACGAGCGCAACCCCUAUCACUAGUUGCUAGCGAGUAAUGUCGAGGACUCUAGAGAAACUGCCUGGGAUGACCAGGAGGAAGGCGAGGAUGACGUCAAGUCCUCAUGGCCCUUAUGGGCUGGGCUACACACGUGCUACAAUGGCGGUUACAAUGGGUUAAUCCCCAAAAACUGUCUC